AGAAUUCUGAGGUCAUUCCUCAGUGUUCUAGCUGGAGGCUUCUAAAGCAUUAUGAGCUGUGUGGUCAAGUUCAAUACUAAGAACAUGGCCUUAGAAUGUAAAAAUGAAUGGCCACUUCCAGGUAUGGCUGAGAAGGGUGAAAAUGCAUGCACCCACAGACACACACACACACCGUGGAAAUGAGGAAAAGUUACUUCUCUCUGUUGUAAAUUUAAAUGCAGUCCAGAGUAGUGAAGGCCGUUUGUAAGGUCUGCUGAGCUAAUGGAUUCAUAAUGACUUUUAAAGCUUCACUCGGUACAUCCUAUGUGCCAGACACUGCGAUAGGUUCUGGAGAUAACAACAGUGUCCAAGAAACAACAGUGUCCAAGAAACAGGACUUUCCCUCAAAGAGCUUACUGGGGAAGCCAGCAAGACCAGCAGACAAAC
Molecule: long non-coding RNA, 426 nt
Filed under: Homo sapiens (human)
Lineage: Eukaryota; Metazoa; Chordata; Mammalia; Primates; Hominidae
Description: non-protein coding lnc-SRPRA-9:2
Source: RNAcentral